AGGUGCCUACGGGGCGCAGCAGUGGGGGAUAUUGCACAAUGGGGGAAACCCUGAUGCAGCAACGCCGCGUGAGGGAAGAAGGUCUUCGGAUUGUAAACCUUUGUUUUUGGUGACGAAAGAAAUGACGGUAGCCAAAGAGGAAGCUCCGGCUAACUACGUGCCAGCAGCCGCGGUAAUACGUAGGGAGCGAGCGUUGUCCGGAAUUACUGGGUGUAAAGGGUGCGCAGGCGGGACAUUAAGGUGGAUGGGAAAUGCCGGGGCUCAACCCCGGGGCUGCAUCCAAAACUGAAGUUCUUGAGUGAAGG
This 305-nucleotide ribosomal RNA is filed under the name uncultured bacterium. RNAcentral's name for it is "bacterial SSU rRNA". It matches the Rfam family "Bacterial small subunit ribosomal RNA", at positions 333 to 652 of the family's 1533-position model. The record is from RNAcentral.